AGCGAACGCUGGCGGCAGGCUUAACACAUGCAAGUCGAGCGGGCACUUUCGGGUGUCAGCGGCGGACGGGUGAGUAACGCGUGGGAACGUGCCCUCUGGUUCGGAAUAACUCAGGGAAACUUGAGCUAAUACCGGAUACGCCCUUUUGGGGAAAGGCUUGCUGCCGGAGGAUCGGCCCGCGUCUGAUUUGCUAGUUGGUGAGGUAACGGCUCACCAAGGCGACGAUCAGUAGCUGGUCUGAGAGGAUGAUCAGCCACACUGGGACUGAGACACGGCCCAGACUCCUACGGGAGGCAGCAGUGGGGAAUAUUGGACAAUGGGCGCAAGCCUGAUCCAGCCAUGCCGCGUGAGUGAUGAAGGCCUUAGGGUUGUAAAGCUCUUUUAUCCGGGACGAUAAUGACGGUACCGGAGGAAUAAGCCCCGGCUAACUUCGUG
RNAcentral lists this ribosomal RNA (435 nucleotides) under uncultured bacterium. RNAcentral's name for it is "partial 16S ribosomal RNA". It matches the Rfam family "Bacterial small subunit ribosomal RNA", at positions 29 to 507 of the family's 1533-position model. The record is from RNAcentral.